UUACGGUCAUAUCACACUGAAAUCAGUUCUCGUACGAUCACUGAAGUUAAGCAACGUCGAGACAGGUCAGUACCUAGAUGAGUGACCGAUUGAGAAUACCAGGUGCUGUAAG
Non-coding RNA from Acanthosepion pharaonis, 112 nucleotides. Lineage: Eukaryota; Metazoa; Mollusca; Cephalopoda; Sepiida; Sepiidae. The record is from the annotation of a GenBank genome assembly.